This 405-nucleotide long non-coding RNA is filed under the name Brassica napus (rape). RNAcentral describes it as "long non-coding RNA (BNAP_LNC007693)". Lineage: Eukaryota; Viridiplantae; Streptophyta; Magnoliopsida; Brassicales; Brassicaceae. The record is from RNAcentral.
AACAAACGGUCGUAUUGAAUACGAUGAGAGUAGUUCAAUGAACUUAUGACUUUGAUAAUCAAAAAGAAAGAGAAUAUGAAGAUAAUUGUGUCUUUAAAUUCCUGCAUAACAUAUAUUAUGUAUUAUAAGCUUUGUGGGUGAGUGUGUUUUAGUUAAAUUGAUAUUUUUUUCGUUUUUAUUUGGUAUAUUAGAUAUUUUAAGCUUACUAAUCAAUUUUUGAAUAUUUUGUUUGAACAACAAUUUGACUAAAAAAAUUAUUUUAACAAAUUUUUAUUCAUUAAAUGUUUAUGUAUAUCAAUAUAAUUUCUUGUAAUUUUAUUUAUUAAAUGUUUAUUCAUAUCAAUGUAAUUAUUUGUAAUUUUAUAUGUUUUAUAAUUUCUUGUAACAAAUUAUUUUAACAAAUUU